Molecule: ribosomal RNA, 205 nt
Filed under: uncultured bacterium
Lineage: Bacteria
Description: partial 16S ribosomal RNA
Rfam family: Bacterial small subunit ribosomal RNA
Source: RNAcentral
UACGUAGGGGGGCUAGCGUUGUCCGGAAUCAUUGGGCGUAAAGAGCGUGUAGGCGGCCCGGUAAGUCCGCUGUAAAAGUCAAAGGCUCAACCUUUGAAUGUCAGUGGAUACUGCCGGGCUAGAGUCCGGAAGAGGCGAGUGGAAUCCUGGUGUAGCGGUGAAUGCGCAGAUAUCAGGAGGAACACCAGCUGGCGAAGGCGGUCUC